This 492-nucleotide ribosomal RNA is filed under the name uncultured bacterium. Its description in RNAcentral is "partial 16S ribosomal RNA". It matches the Rfam family "Bacterial small subunit ribosomal RNA", at positions 29 to 507 of the family's 1533-position model. The record is from RNAcentral.
AGUGAACGCUGGCGGUAUGCCUAACACAUGCAAGUCGAACGGCAGCACAGUAAGAGCUUGCUCUUACGGGUGGCGAGUGGCGGACGGGUGAGGAAUACAUCGGAAUCUACUUUUUCGUGGGGGAUAACGUGGGGAAACUUACGCUAAUACCGCAUACGACCUACGGGUGAAAGCAGGGGAUCUUCGGACCUUGCGCGAUUGAAUGAGCCGAUGUCGGAUUAGCUAGUUGGCGGGGUAAAGGCCCACCAAGGCGACGAUCCGUAGCUGGUCUGAGAGGAUGAUCAGCCACACUGGAACUGAGACACGGUCCAGACUCCUACGGGAGGCAGCAGUGGGGAAUAUUGGACAAUGGGCGAAAGCCUGAUCCAGCCAUACCGCGUGGGUGAAGAAGGCCUUCGGGUUGUAAAGCCCUUUUGUUGGGAAAGAAAAGCAGCAGGUUAAUACCCUGCUGUUAUGACGGUACCCAAAGAAUAAGCACCGGCUAACUUCGUG